AAAGAUGGAGCGUGAUGUAUUGAAAAUUAGUUGUAAUCAAAGUAUUGUAUAUAUUUAUACCUAUUUCAUGUUAGAUUGAAUACAGAUAGCUCAAUGCUAAGAAAUAUCUGUUUGUUUUUAUUUAAUCAAAGAAUAUUACCUUUUGAAGUUGUGAUCUACCAUAGAAUGAUACACAGAUCUUGUAAGAAAUUGACUUUGAGCAUUUUUAAAUGUGGCUAAAAAAAAAAAAAUUAUGAAAUAUUCUUGCUUUAUUUUUAUUUUUUACUUAUUAUGCUGAAUAAUAAGAACCUAUAUUUAAUACAACAAUAAAAAGACUUGAUUUUUUAUGUUGUUUAUACAUUAUUAAGAUACAAAUUUUAAAAAUUAAAUGACUUAUUAUGACUUAUGUAUAUGUGGACAUAUAUAUAUAUAUAUAUAUGUAAACAUAUGCGUGCUUUUGUAGAUAUUAUACUGUGAACAUGCAUUGCAAUUAUUCUCUUACGACUUGAAAGCCAUAUAUCAGGGGACACCUAGAAAAUGCUUCUGAGAUUGCAAAACUUCAGAAGAAAAAAAAGAAUGAAAGAAGGAGAAUUUUAUUUAUAAAUAAAUAAAAUAAAUAAAAAAGCAUCAUUUACGCAAAGAGAAAGAAGUUGAGUUGUUUCUUCCGAUGCAGACUCUAAGUUCGACAAGGGCCACGAUUGUCCCUAGAUGCAACACAACAAAAAGCACUGCCUUGUGAACACAGAUGCAGCACCCACCACACCUUUUUUAACCUAUCGGUGAAACUUCGACAUCAACAAGCGUAAACUUUAUUGCACAACAAUUUGACUCUACAUGGCCACGAUUAUAAAAACUCACACUCCAUCCUCCUCCUCCCCCUC
Molecule: long non-coding RNA, 860 nt
Filed under: Physcomitrium patens
Lineage: Eukaryota; Viridiplantae; Streptophyta; Bryopsida; Funariales; Funariaceae
Description: long non-coding RNA (PPAT_LNC007263)
Source: RNAcentral